This 460-nucleotide ribosomal RNA is filed under the name uncultured bacterium. Its description in RNAcentral is "partial 16S ribosomal RNA". It matches the Rfam family "Bacterial small subunit ribosomal RNA", at positions 338 to 795 of the family's 1533-position model. The record is from RNAcentral.
CCUACGGGUGGCAGCAGUGAGGAAUAUUGGUCCAUGGGCGUAAGCCUGAACCAGCCAAGUCGCGUGAGGGAUGAAGGUUCUAUGGAUCGUAAACCUCUUUUAUAAGGGAAUAAAGUGCGGGACGUGUCCCGUUUUGUAUGUACCUUAUGAAUAAGGAUCGGCUAACUCCGUGCCAGCAGCCGCGGUAAUACGGAGGCUCCGAGCGUUAUCCGGAUUUAUUGGGUUUAAAGGGUGCGUAGGCGGCCUUUUAAGUCAGCGGGGAAAGUCUGGGGCUCAACCCUAGAAUUGCCGUUGAAACUGGGAGGGUUGAGUAUGUUUGAGGCAGGCGGAAUGCGUGGUGUAGCGGGGAAAUGCUUAGAUAUCACGCAGAACCCCGAUUGCGAAGGCAGCCUGCCAAGCCAUGACUGACGCUGAUGCACGAGAGCGUGGGGAUCAAACAGGAUUAGAUACCCUGGUAGUC